CUCCUCCCUCCUUCUCCUGAAUUCCUCCCCCUGCUUGAAUGACAUCAAGGCUCUGGGGAAAUUUAAAACAGUUACUUUUUGCCAGAAGCUUGAAGAUUCUUGACCUCGACACAUGAUUGCAACUUGUUCUUCGUGUGCUCUGGGGUUGGCUAGAAGACAGGAAGGGCUCCUCCUCUGCUGGUGGAAAAAAUAGCCAUCGCCUUAUAUGGCUUCAAUUUGUACUGAGCCCCUUUUGCCUAUUUUUCAGACGUUCUGUGUGAUUUUGAGGAGCGUUUUGCUUUCUUCUGAAUGCACCGUGACCAUGCAGGAGCUCUGAGAACCACAAGCCUGCCUCUCCGUCUCCUCUGCCUGGCCCUCCCCAUCUCCCGUGUUCCCUCUUACUUCAGGUGUCUCUUGAUGAAGGGGUUGCUGUCAACUAAUGGCAAUCCUGUUUGAGAAAGAUGCUUCAGACUUUCCCCACACUCGGCAUUCCUACUGGGAGCUACGUAGAUCUAUCUGUCUGCCUGUCGUUGUGCCAGGGCUUCGCUGCAGAAAGUUACAGUUGAAUAUAAAGAAGUCUUGGAAUCCGAUCUGGAAUGGCUACUACACACGAACACGAUUGCUACAUUGCUCAAGCUGUUACUGAGAAUGAAUUCUAACAAAAGAAGAGAACUUGGGGUAAUUAGAAAAACACAGGAUGGAGCUGUGCAGUAUUGUUCUGUUAUGUGUAUUAGGAAGAAGAUCCCCCACAUUCCAGUCUCCCACAGACACGGCUCACCCAGGAAGAAGAUCCCCCACAUUCCAGUCUCCCACAGACACAGCUCGCCCGUCUAUUCUGAGCCACUUUGCUGGGUUUUCUAGAUAUGCAACUAAGAUCGCAGGACUGUCUGUUUUGCAGAAAGUGCACAUACAUGGUUAGGGUAUCUGUGUUUGUUUGGAUACUUUAUCUGCAUAAAGUUGGUAUAUGCCUUUGUGGUAUGCCCACAAGUCUAAUAAAUACAUAAAUAAAAAUA
This is a long non-coding RNA of Erinaceus europaeus (western European hedgehog), 992 nucleotides long. RefSeq lists it as uncharacterized. The transcript has 2 exons. NCBI's taxonomy places the organism in Eukaryota, Metazoa, Chordata, Mammalia, Eulipotyphla, Erinaceidae. The record is from RefSeq and is a predicted model, not a curated record.